UGUGGGAGCGGGCUUGCUCGCGAUGGCAGAGUGUCAGUCACCAGAUGUAUUGACUGAUUCACCGUCAUCGCGAGCAAGCCCGCUCCCACA
RNAcentral lists this unclassified non-coding RNA (90 nucleotides) under Pseudomonas brenneri. Lineage: Bacteria; Pseudomonadati; Pseudomonadota; Gammaproteobacteria; Pseudomonadales; Pseudomonadaceae. The record is from RNAcentral.